GCUUGGAGUCAAUGACCGCUCGGCCCGAGUUGAAAAAGUGUGCAUGCGAGCGUAAAUACGAGAAUAAUCGGCGUGUCACGAAAUCACAGUUUUGUCUUAGCGAUGUUAAGUCCAUGGUAUUUCAGGUCCAUGCUUCUGGUUCGAUCUUUAGAGCUUGUAGGCCUGCCGCAUCAUGAGAUCGAAGAAGCAAUCGUUGUCGAUGGACACGCUGAUGCCGCUGUAGUAGUUCAUGAACUCCUCAAGCGUUACCUGAAAGCAG
Long non-coding RNA from Cydia amplana, 259 nucleotides. RefSeq lists it as uncharacterized. The record is from RefSeq and is a predicted model, not a curated record. Lineage: Eukaryota; Metazoa; Arthropoda; Insecta; Lepidoptera; Tortricidae. The transcript has 2 exons.